Molecule: long non-coding RNA, 972 nt
Organism: Polistes canadensis
Lineage: Eukaryota; Metazoa; Arthropoda; Insecta; Hymenoptera; Vespidae
Exons: 3
Source: RefSeq, a predicted model, not a curated record
ACUAACUAAUACGAUAAUCACAGCUUUAGAAAAUAAAGCGUACUGUUCCGCUGUCUUCAUAAAUGUAGAAAAAGCUUUCGAUAAAGUGUGGCUUCACGGAUUAUUAUAAAUAAUCAAUAAACACUUUCCACACUCGUAUUAGAAACCCCUCAAAUCUUACCUUUCUGAAAGAACAUUUGACGAAAAAAUAAAUAACGCUCAUUCGAACAUAAAACUAAUCAAAGCUGGAGUUCCGCUGGGAAGUAUCCUCGGGCCAAUUCUCUAUACGGUAGACAUACCACCAAUAAACGCAAACUGUACAAUCUUAACAUUUGCAGACGAUACGGCAUGCUUACCAUAAACAAAGACCCGUAACAAGCAAAUUAAUCGUUACAAAACCAAAUUACUCUUUCGAAGAAUGGUUACAUAAUAGGAAGAUCAAGAAAUUCCGAAAGUAACGACGGUCACAUAUUUGGGACUACACCAAGAUUUCAAACUAACAUGGAAAAAGCAUAUAAAUGCCAAAAUUGAACAAAUUCGUUUUAUAAGAAAACAAAUGGCUUAGCUAACUAGUAAAAAAUCGAAACUUAGCAUAGAGAACAAACUAAUAAUCUACGAAACAAAAAUACAACCAAUCUGUAGACAUAUGGAUUACCGCUAUGGGGUAUAGCAGCUAAAGGUCACAUUGCUAAGCUCGAAGCUCAACAAUCCAUAACCCUACGCGCAAUCGUGAAUGCUCCAUGGUACAAAAGAAGAAUUGAUACGCACAUAAACCGGCUAGCCAACGAUAACUACAACCAAUAUAUACCUAGAAGGAUCAAAAGAGUCCACCCAGGGGACCUGGUAAAAAUUAAUUCUAAAUGAAAUAAAUAACAAUAGCGACGCUAUCUCAUUGAAGAAACCAUCCACGUGCUAUCUUUUUUCACAUAUAUAACAAUUUACCAUAUGUAUACGGACAAAUUGUAAAAAUGUAUGGAGUUAAUAAAAACAAAA